This 253-nucleotide ribosomal RNA is filed under the name uncultured bacterium. RNAcentral describes it as "partial 16S ribosomal RNA". It matches the Rfam family "Bacterial small subunit ribosomal RNA", at positions 524 to 776 of the family's 1533-position model. The record is from RNAcentral.
UACGUAGGGGGCGAGCGUUGUCCGGAGUUACUGGACGUAAAGGGCAUGCAGGCGGUCCGACACGUUUUGUGUGACAGCGGGUGGCUUAACUACCCGAGGAUACGAAAGACGGUUGGACUUGAGGACUCGAGAGGGACACGGAAUUCCGGGUGGAGUGGUGAAAUGCGUAGAGAUCCGGAGGAACACCGAAGGCGAAGGCAGUGUCCUGGCGAGUGACUGACGCUGAGGUGCGAAAGCCAGGGGAGCGAACGGG